GAAUGCUGACAUAAGUAACGAUAAAGCGGGUGAAAAGCCCGCUCGCCGGAAGACCAAGGGUUCCUGUCCAACGUUAAUCGGGGCAGGGUGAGUCGACCCCUAAGGCGAGGCCGAAAGGCGUAGUCGAUGGGAAACAGGUUAAUAUUCCUGUACUUGGUGUUACUGCGAAGGGGGGACGGAGAAGGCUAUGUUGGCCGGGCGACGGUUGUCCCGGUUUAAGCGUGUAGGCUGAUUUUCCAGGCAAAUCCGGAAAAUCAAGGCUGAGGCGUGAUGACGAGGCACUACGGUGCUGAAGCAACAAAUGCCCUGCUUCCAGGAAAAGCCUCUAAGCAUCAGGUAACAUCAAAUCGUACCCCAAACCGACACAGGUGGUCAGGUAGAGAAUACCAAGGCGCUUGAGAGAACUCGGGUGAAGGAACUAGGCAAAAUGGUGCCGUAACUUCGGGAGAAGGCACGCUGAUAUGUAGGUGAAGCGACUUGCUCGUGGAGCUGAAAUCAGUCGAAGAUACCAGCUGGCUGCAACUGUUUAUUAAAAACACAGCACUGUGCAAACACGAAAGUGGACGUAUACGGUGUGACGCCUGCCCGGUGCCGGAAGGUUAAUUGAUGGGGUUAGCGGUAACGCGAAGCUCUUGAUCGAAGCCCCGGUAAACGGCGGCCGUAACUAUAACGGUCCUAAGGUAGCGAAAUUCCUUGUCGGGUAAGUUCCGACCUGCACGAAUGGCGUAAUGAUGGCCAGGCUGUCUCCACCCGAGACUCAGUGAAAUUGAACUCGCUGUGAAGAUGCAGUGUACCCGCGGCAAGACGGAAAGACCCCGUGAACCUUUACUAUAGCUUGACACUGAACAUUGAGCCUUGAUGUGUAGGAUAGGUGGGAGGCUUUGAAGUGUGGACGCCAGUCUGCAUGGAGCCGACCUUGAAAUACCACCCUUUAAUGUUUGAUGUUCUAACGUUGGCCCGUUAUCCGGGUUGCGGACAGUGUCUGGUGGGUAGUUUGACUGGGGCGGUCUCCUCCUAAAGAGUAACGGAGGAGCACGAAGGUUGGCUAAUCCUGGUCGGACAUCAGGAGGUUAGUGCAAUGGCAUAAGCCAGCUUGACUGCGAGCGUGACGGCGCGAGCAGGUGCGAAAGCAGGUCAUAGUGAUCCGGUGGUUCUGAAUGGAAGGGCCAUCGCUCAACGGAUAAAAGGUACUCCGGGGAUAACAGGCUGAUACCGCCCAAGAGUUCAUAUCGACGGCGGUGUUUGGCACCUCGAUGUCGGCUCAUCACAUCCUGGGGCUGAAGUAGGUCCCAAGGGUAUGGCUGUUCGCCAUUUAAAGUGGUACGCGAGCUGGGUUUAGAACGUCGUGAGACAGUUCGGUCCCUAUCUGCCGUGGGCGCUGGAGAACUGAGGGGGGCUGCUCCUAGUACGAGAGGACCGGAGUGGACGCAUCACUGGUGUUCGGGUUGUCAUGCCAAUGGCACUGCCCGGUAGCUAAAUGCGGAAGAGAUAAGUGCUGAAAGCAUCUAAGCACGAAACUUGCCCCGAGAUGAGUUCUCCCUGACUCCUUGAGAGUCCUGAAGGAACGU
This 1568-nucleotide ribosomal RNA is filed under the name Escherichia coli. RNAcentral's name for it is "partial 23S ribosomal RNA". It matches the Rfam family "Bacterial large subunit ribosomal RNA", at positions 1292 to 2838 of the family's 2925-position model. Lineage: Bacteria; Pseudomonadati; Pseudomonadota; Gammaproteobacteria; Enterobacterales; Enterobacteriaceae. The record is from RNAcentral.